ACGAACGCUGGCGGUGUGCUUCACACAUGCAAGUCGAACGGUAAGGCCCUUUCGGGGGUACCCGAGUGGCGAACGGGUGAGUAACACGUGAGUAACCUGCCCUCAUCUCUGGGAUAACAGUCGGAACCGGUUGCUAAUACUGGAUAUGAGCUUGCAAGGCAUCUUGUGGGUUGGAAAGAUUUUUUUGGUUGGGGAUGGACUCGCGGCCUAUCAGCUUGUUGGUGAGGUAGUGGCUCACCAAGGCUUCGACGGGUAGCCGGCCUGAGAGGGCGACCGGCCACAUUGGGACUGAGAUACGGCCCAAACUCCUACGGGAGGCAGCAGUGGGGAAUAUUGCACAAUGGACGGAAGUCUGAUGCAGCAACGCCGCGUGCGGGAUGACGGCCUUCGGGUUGUAAACCGCUUUCAAUUGUGACGAAGCUUUUUGUGACGGUAGCAGUAGAAGAAGCACCGGCUAACUACGUG
This 465-nucleotide ribosomal RNA is filed under the name uncultured bacterium. RNAcentral's name for it is "partial 16S ribosomal RNA". It matches the Rfam family "Bacterial small subunit ribosomal RNA", at positions 29 to 507 of the family's 1533-position model. The record is from RNAcentral.